This 497-nucleotide ribosomal RNA is filed under the name uncultured bacterium. RNAcentral's name for it is "partial 16S ribosomal RNA". It matches the Rfam family "Bacterial small subunit ribosomal RNA", at positions 28 to 507 of the family's 1533-position model. The record is from RNAcentral.
GAUGAACGCUGGCGGCGUGCCUAAUACAUGCAAGUCGAGCGAACGGACGAGAAGCUUGCUUUUCUGAUGUUAGCGGCGGACGGGUGAGUAACACGUGGAUAACCUACCUAUAAGACUGGGAUAACUUCGGGACACCGGAGCUAAUACCGGAUAAUAUUUUGAACCGCAUGGUUCAAAAGUGAAAGACGGUCUUGCUGUCACUUAUAGAUGGAUCCGCGCUGCAUUAGCUAGUUGGUAAGGUAACGGCUUACCAAGGCAACGAUGCAUAGCCGAGCUGAGAGGGUGAUCGGCCACACUGGAACUGAGACACGGUCCAGACUCCUACGGGAGGCAGCAGUAGGGAAUCUUCCGCAAUAGUCGAAAGCCUGACGGAGCAACGCCGCGUGAGUGGUGAAGGUCUUCGGAUCGUAAAACUCUGUUAUUAGGGAAGAACAUAUGUGUAAGUAACUGUGCACAUCGUGACGGUACCUAAUCAGAAAGCCACGGCUAACUACGUG